Long non-coding RNA from Rhinichthys klamathensis goyatoka, 243 nucleotides. RefSeq lists it as uncharacterized. NCBI's taxonomy places the organism in Eukaryota, Metazoa, Chordata, Actinopteri, Cypriniformes, Leuciscidae. The record is from RefSeq and is a predicted model, not a curated record. The transcript is spliced from 3 exons.
CUAAAUACACCUGCCCAGUUGCCAACAUGGAGUUCAAACUCAACCGCCUGCGCACCUGUGACAGCUGUGGCUUCCAGAGGAGCUUCAGUGAGGAUUGCAACUACCUCUCGCUGGUCAUCAGCCCUCAGAGAAGAGUCAUAGACAGCCUGCAGCAGUAUUUCAAAACAUCUUCAUUUGAAUGCUCCUGCAGCGAGUGUGCCGGCACUACAGCCUCAGAGGCCCUGCAAUUAAUCACCUUUCCAC